RNAcentral lists this microRNA precursor (97 nucleotides) under Paramuricea clavata. The record is from RNAcentral. Lineage: Eukaryota; Metazoa; Cnidaria; Anthozoa; Malacalcyonacea; Plexauridae.
CAAAGUGGAUAGUGUUUAUGACGUCGAAUAUCGACGUCAUAAACAUCAAAGUUGAUCGUGUUUAUGACGUCGAAUAUCGACGUCAUAAUCACCAAAU